The sequence is a small nucleolar RNA, 106 nucleotides long. It matches the Rfam family "Plant small nucleolar RNA R71". Rfam says of the family: R71 is a member of the C/D box family of snoRNAs containing the C (UGAUGA) and D (CUGA) box motifs. Multiple nearly identical copies of this snoRNA have been identified in Arabidopsis, and it is thought to function as a 2'-O-ribose methylation guide for 18S ribosomal RNA. The record is from Rfam.
AUACCAUGAUGAGGACAUUCCUAAGCAACUCCUUGAAUCUUUUACAUGCAUCAUACAAGCUUUUAUCUUCAAGUUGAUGGAAAGAUGUGAUCUAAUUCUUCAACUU